Small nucleolar RNA from Eptesicus fuscus (big brown bat), 124 nucleotides. RefSeq annotates it as small nucleolar RNA SNORA3/SNORA45 family. The record is from RefSeq and is a predicted model, not a curated record. Lineage: Eukaryota; Metazoa; Chordata; Mammalia; Chiroptera; Vespertilionidae. The transcript has a single exon.
CCCGAGACCAGAGUCCCAUCCUGACAGCUGUUGUCCUGGCGUGCUCGCGUUCUCGGAGAGCCUCCUGGUCUCGGCUCACUGGGAGGGCGGCAAGUGCCCUGGGGUGCCCAGAUCAGAAAUGGAG